This is an RNA transcript of Felis catus (domestic cat), 5653 nucleotides long. It is a transcript of the gene named Yip1 domain family member 1, with no coding region annotated. The record is from RefSeq and is a predicted model, not a curated record. Lineage: Eukaryota; Metazoa; Chordata; Mammalia; Carnivora; Felidae. The transcript has 11 exons.
CAGGCCAAGACGGAAGGAGGCGGGGCUCUGCCCGGAGGAGGUGGAGAAGUUCCGCCCCCCGGAUCUCCGGCUUCCGGCAACUCGGCUGGACCUGGACCUGCCUGGUACUACUGAGGUUGGAGCCUCCCCCCGACCAGCUGGACGCCGAGCCCCUCGAGACCUCUGCAAAAUUUCUUCUUAAUAAUUGGGAGAAGACCCGCUGGCUGGAUGGCAGCUGUAGGUGAUUUGCAGUUUGAAGAAUUUGGUAACGCGGCCGCUACUGCAGCAGAAAACCCAGGUGCCACCACGAUAAGUAUCGAGGGUCCUGGUGAAAGCCCGGCGCAUCAAGCAGGACUCCCAAGAGGCUCCGGGGGAGAAGAGGAUGAUGAGUUGCUGGGAAACGAUGACUCUGACAAAACUGAGUUACUUGCUGGCCAGAAGAAAAGCUCCCCCUUCUGGACAUUUGAAUACUAUCAAACAUUCUUUGACGUAGACACUUACCAGGUCUUUGACAGAAUAAAGGGGUCCCUUUUGCCAAUACCAGGAAAAAACUUUGUGAGGUUAUAUAUCCGCAGCAAUCCAGAUCUUUACGGCCCCUUUUGGAUAUGUGCCACAUUGGUCUUUGCCAUAGCAAUUAGUGGGAAUCUUUCCAACUUCUUAAUCCAUCUGGGAGAGAAGACAUACCAUUAUGUGCCCGAAUUCCGAAAAGUGUCCAUAGCGGCCACGAUCAUAUAUGCCUAUGCUUGGCUGGUUCCUCUCGCACUCUGGGGUUUCCUCAUGUGGAGAAACAGCAAAGUUAUGAACAUCGUUUCCUACUCGUUUUUGGAGAUUGUGUGCGUCUAUGGAUAUUCGCUCUUCAUUUAUAUCCCCACAGCAGUGCUGUGGAUUAUCCCCCAGAAAGCUGUUCGUUGGAUUCUAGUCAUGAUUGCCCUGGGUGUCUCAGGCUCUGUCUUGGCAAUGACAUUUUGGCCAGCCGUUCGUGAGGAUAACCGGCGCAUCGCACUGGCCACAAUUGUGACAAUUGUGUUGCUUCACACGCUGCUUUCUGUGGGCUGCUUGGUAUGGUCUCAUUCCUGUGAUCUUCCUGUGUGCCUCAGAUACAAAUGCUGAAAGACCUCAACCUGUUACUCACAACGAACGGGUCUUUUAAGACGGGCUCCAUAAAAUCAAUAUUGUUUUGAAUAGACUGUCCUAAAUGAGAAGCGGUAAAUUGAUGAGAAUUUGAUGGUAAUCUCUGGCUUUACCUAAUUUCUGAAACUUGGUAAGAUUUGGAGUCUGGCCAGAGGAAGUCGGGGUGGAUGAGUGUCUGUAAGAGGUUGGGGGGCGGGGGUGGUGGGGGGAUGUUCAACCUUUGGAUGUCUUUGCAGGUUUUCUGCACAUACCUAGAAAGAGUUUUGAAAUUUCCAGUUUCAUAGGUGGAAAGUCUGAGCAUGAAAUCAAAUUAGGAGAGGGGAGAUAUUUUUAAGGUGAAUAACAUUUAAAAGAGGUUUUGGGUUCGUGUAUUUGGGUGUCUUUUUAGGGAGAGCAUGUGGUUUUCAGGCAGGUCCAGAUUGAAGACCAGCUCUGUCACUCACUGGCUGUGUGAGCUGGGCCAUGGUACCUACCUUCUCUGAAUCUGAACGACUUAAUCGGUAACAUGGGCAUAAAAUUUCCUGCCACCUAGGGUUGUAUUGAGGAUAAAAAAAAAUAAUACAUAUAAAAGUUAAUAUAGAACUUGUCCCACAAAUGCCCAUAAAUUAGGUCCCUUUCCCUUGGUCCUAAGGAAACACGGUUUUAUAUCUUUUGUGCACAUUGUACAAACCACAGUUUUAUAUCUUUUGUGCACAUUGUACACAAAAAUUGCUGCCCAUGGCCUUAACAAGGCCUGAAGCAGGUUUUUAAAGAACACCGAGUCCAAGAAUGUUAAGGUCACUAAUGAAGGAAAGAAUGUGCCCACAGGAAGAUACCCAUAUUGCAUGUGUCCAGACCCUUGGCCGGGUUUUACAGCUGUGGGAGUAAAUAUUUCUUUGGCACCAUUUGAUCUGUGAUAGUUUUGUGUAGACAACCUGGGUCAUUAAUAAGAUCCCAAUACUUGAUCAUUGAACAAAGUCUCAUACAAAGUGCCAAGUUCUGAAACACGGACCUGGUUUACGUGCAGUUUACAUGUCUAAGCUUUAAAUUUUUGAGACGGAGGACUAUCGGUCUGACUCACGGCAGAGUGACACCAUUGAUUUCGGGGACUUGAAGUCCCUGGGCUGACCCAUUGUAACGCUGCUGAGGCCUUUCUUGACCUUUCUGUCUGCGGAGGAAGAAUGUCCUUUCUCGCCGUAGCCCCCUCACUGGUGUCUCCCCACGUCUCUCUUGAAAAUUUCCCCGCAUAUACCUAGUUGAGUUGGUGGAGAGAGGAAGCAAGAGAAGAAGCACUGCCUUGUUCAGUUCUGUAAAGAAUAGAGAGGAGCGUGGCAGAUUAGACGAUGGGGCAGGGAGGUGGUGGUGAUGGUAAUAUUACUGAGAACCUAUUUCCUUUGGUGUGGGUGGCAGGGUCUUUUACCUCCCAUGCCUGUUACUCCCUUUUGGGGGUAAAUGACACUGAAGUUAGGAUUUACCUGCCCGUCCUGCUGCUCCGGAACUUGCUGGAAGAGAGCAUUAUAAUGAAAUAAAAAGAGCCCUGGACUGGGCUUAGCUUUGUGAGCCUAGGCGAGUGACUUCGUUCUCAGAGCCCUGGCUUCCUCCUCUGUCAUGGAGACUCAUAUUUUGUGGGCUCUUGUGAGACUCAGGGAGAUGGCCGUGAGAGCCCUUCAUGUGUCGUGAAGGGUUCUUCAGGUGUAAAGAAGGUACUAAGAGAGCCCUGUGUGAUCUGAAGCUGCCAAGGCCACUCUGCUACCUCUUCCUCCUGAGUGCCCCAGUGAGAGUGGUCCAAGGUCACACAGCUCGAAAGACGGGGCCCUUUCAUUGGUGCCUCUCACUGGCAUCUUCCCACCUCUCUCCAGAAUGCCUUUUCCAUCAUACACCUGGCUGGGAAGUUGGAGGAGAGAAGGAGACAGGAGAGAAGGCUUCUUCUUGUUCACUUCUUAGGGAGCCCAAGGAGCCAGGCACGUUGGAUGAUGGAGCAGGGAGGGAACUGCAGGUGUAGACCCCCUCUUGGAGGGAGGUGCAGUUUUCUCCUCCUCGGGGAAGGGAACCAUCCCAUGAUCGGGUUUAGCCAGGGGCCUUCUGUGCCUGGGGUUUUGCUCUCCAUGCUGGAGAUGGCCUCCUCUUAUCUCUUCUGGAGAUGUGCAGUACAAGAGGUUGGAGCAGAAGUUAGGAGAUGGGGUCUGGUCCCAGCUCCUUCGCUCCCUGCUUUCGUUAUUUCCCCUCUCUGGCCCCUACCUCCUCACUUAGAAAACGGAGCUGCAGGAACAUCUUUACUGUUGUAAGGACUGAAUGAUACAUGCAACAUGAACAAUACAAGCAGAUAUCGUAUGCCGUAUGAACAAUAUGCCGUAUGAACAAUACGGCAGAUAUUAUUAUUAGUGGAAGGGCAGAAGGGAGAAGAAUUGUCAGGGGAGGGGCACUGGCUGACCCACACAGCUUGGCUUCUCACUGCCCCAGGAAGCACGGAUUGCGGGUUUUAAAGCUUCAAUGUACUAAAGUAUUUGACAGUCCUCUAUCUGCCAAGGGCCCCUCAGGGCUCACAGUUGUAUGCUAAGUUGGUAGUGGAAGCUCACUCCAGGUGGGGAGGACUAAGGAAGCACCAGAGGGUGCAUCCUUGACUGGUGGAUUGGAGAUGUACAAGCCUGCGUUUGCCGUGGUUACUGCUGAUGGUGGACAGUCCUGUGCCCUCUCUGCCAGGGGACACUCCCAGCCCUACUGCUAGAAAGCCUGAUGUUUCAUCCUGAGGCCUCCACAGUGCCUCGUCCUAGACUGGACAUAGUCUACGGCCAUACCACCCUGAACACGCCCAUCUCAUCUGAUCUAGACUGGGCAUAAAGUUAGGUGCCAAACUGCAGGCAGCACUGGAGAAGAGAAGAAUGUAGUUUUUGGAGCCGGACACAACCAGAUUGAAGCCCUCAGACACAGGGUUGUGUAGCUUUGGGAAAAUCUCUUUGCCACUUGCUCAUCUUUAAAAUGGGGAUAAAAUUGCCUAUUACAGGAUUAUCGAGUAGGUUAAUGAUCUAUGCGCCUGAUGCACAGUAGGUACUCCCUGAAUGACAACUGUGGCUAUCGCUAAGUAUUUGUGGAAUUAAUGAACUAAUGAGCCGUAGAAUUACAGUUUGACCUUAGAGGCCAUUUUUUCCAAUCCUUCCAUUUCACAGAUUAGAAAACUGAGACUCACGGGUGGAGUGAUUUGUCCAGAGUUACUGUGCGAGUUACUAGCAAAACCAGGUUUAGAACCUGGCCUCUUGGCUCAUUCCCUCUGAUGAGGGUUUCGUCCAGUAGCCUGGAAGAAAGGUACUGUUCCUGCCUCAUGAGGGCUUUGUGGCUCUACCUUCACGAUAUCUGGAGGAGCCCAACACUAUAGCAGCAUGUCCCCUGUCCCCUUGUUAAUUUAGGGACCAUUCUUUCCCUGCCUCAGAAAACAAGUGCCAGAAGGGACCCUGGGAGGAAGGCUUUUAGGGCUAAUAGGAUUGCUCAGGGAAUGUGACAAACUAGGGGCGCCCUGUAGCUGGAAACUUUGAAAUGGAUUGCUGAAGAGCUAACACAGAAUAAGAGUAUGUUGGGCAAAGUUCUAGUGUGUCAUGUUGGUGCCCCCUUCUGGCUGAUAGAGAGCAGCGCUGGCAAAAUGGUUCUUGACUUGGCUUUUUAUCCAUUUAAUCCCUAUGCCCUUACUUCCAAGGGGGAAUCACAAGUGUGCAGUGAUCCUUGAUCUGUUAAGAGAUUCACCUUUCCUUUGAACAACCCAGGUAUUUUACUGGGCUAAAGUCAAGAUUCGCAGACCUUGAGACAGGUCGGAAGAUCCUCCUUGGUUUUUUCCCUCUUCUAUCUCCUCCUGAUUUUUGACAGUUAAAUUGCAGACGUUGACUGAAAGCAUUUAUCAAACCUUUCAUUUUCACGCUGAAGAAUUAUGAGGCAUACUUUUUUGAUGCACCGGAGAUGGACCACCUCCCCACAGCCACAGCUGCUCCAAACCAAACAGUUGCAGCAGCCAAGGCCCGCUGAAAAGGAAAUUCUCUUUUAUGUGUUUUGGCGUGUGUCUCCUUUGGACGUGGCAUCUCCUGCAGGAAAGCAGAACGACCAAGUGCAGGAAAACUGAUGCAAUGGCACCACCUUUGGCAUCUCUCUGUGAGGUGUCACCCUGAAACCCAGUCACCUAAUUUAACACACAGCAAUUAAACGUUGUUCAGCGCCUGUGUCUUUCAGCUCUUCUUUCUCAACUGUCGAUUACCAUCGGGACUAUGCCCUGAUUUGGAAUGGAACACAAGGGAACGUGGUAUGUGUGCCUGCCAUUUGCCUCUCGCUGUCAUGUGACAUGCUUCACAUUAGGUCUGCCCUUGAUACGUGGAAUGGAUCCAUCCCGAGCUUCUCAUGUCUUUGUUCUGGAUGUUCCUCUAAGGUGAUCCUCUCCUCUCCAAAUGCUUGCCAUCCUAAAGUGGCCAAACUGUAUGAACUUUGGUUCGGAUCCACUGGGAGCCUGAACAUUUGUCUUUGGUGACCUGACACUGAGCAAGCAAACCUAGUCGUUGCAAAUAAAUACCUCAUAGAAUGUCUGUCUGCA